Apis florea (little honeybee) is the source of this 806-nucleotide long non-coding RNA. NCBI's taxonomy places the organism in Eukaryota, Metazoa, Arthropoda, Insecta, Hymenoptera, Apidae. The record is from RefSeq and is a predicted model, not a curated record.
GAGAUUGAAAAUUAAUUAUUAUUUGAGAAAGUAAUUAUUCCAAGAGGUUAAAUAGAUAUUAUAAUAUUUCAAUAAUAAUUUCACGUUUAAAUUAUAAACAUUUAUAACUUAUCAAGUGGGACAACUCGUAUUUUUUGCAAGAGGAAUACGAAUUAUCAUUUUUCAUCGACCAACUCAAUCCUAUUGGAUCAUUAGAGAACUGAAGGAUUUUAUGUCGAGAGACAAAACGAAGAACGUAUAAGCAUCCUGAGAGGAUGGAAAGAAAUCGAAAGAAAGUAGAUAUACGAGGAACCGUGGUUAGACGAGGUGGAAUAAUAACAGGCUGGGAUAUAUCAAUGGGAUUCAAUAUCGAAAUGAUCCGAUGCCCGUGUGUAAGCAUGCGUGCACGCAUCGGGGGAUCUUCGCGUACAUAACUUACAUAUAUGUAACGGCUAUAAAGAUAGCGUGUAUCAGAUAGUACAGUCUCGUGAAAGGGAAGUUGAAACGGUCCUCUUCGUUGGCAAACGGCCAACUGUUUUUCACUUGAUUCUUUUUUUUUUUUAUAAUUCAUCUUUAAUAUUGAAUAUUUAAUAAUUAUCAAGUUAAUCAUAAUUCAUAAAUAAUGAUGUUAACAUUGUCACGCUAGCAGUGACCUUACAGUGCAAAGGAUUCAAUUUAAUUAAUAAGAGAAAUAAAAUUUUUGUAUGUUCGAGUAUCAGAUUAUUCAUAAGCGUCAUUCAUAAAUAAUGAAGCUGUCUUGUCACGCACAAUGAAGAACCAGACGAAGUACAUAUCAAGCGAAAUUGAACGUGAAGAAAAGUUAGAAG